RNAcentral lists this ribosomal RNA (440 nucleotides) under uncultured bacterium. RNAcentral describes it as "partial 16S ribosomal RNA". It matches the Rfam family "Bacterial small subunit ribosomal RNA", at positions 338 to 795 of the family's 1533-position model. The record is from RNAcentral.
CCUACGGGUGGCAGCAGUGGGGGAUAUUGCACAAUGGGGGAAACCCUGAUGCAGCGACGCCGCGUGUGGGAAGACGGUCCUCUGGAUUGUAAACCACUGUCCCCAGGGACGAAGAUGACGGUACCGGGGGAGGAAGCUCCGGCAAACUACGUGCCAGCAGCCGCGGUAAUACGGAGGGAGCGAGCGUUGUCCGGAAGUACUGGGUGUAAGGGGAGCGUAGGCGGGACUGCAAGUUGGGUGUCAAAUCUACCGGCUCAACCGGUAGCCGCACUCGAAACUGCAGUUCUUGAGUGAAGUAGAGGCAGGCGGAAUUCCUAGUGUAGCGGUGAAAUGCGUAGAUAUUAGGAGGAACACCAGUGGCGAAGGCGGCCUGCUGGGCUUUUACUGACGCUGAGGCUCGAAAGUGUGGGGAGCAAACAGGAUUAGAUACCCCUGUAGUC